Molecule: ribosomal RNA, 497 nt
Filed under: uncultured bacterium
Lineage: Bacteria
Description: partial 16S ribosomal RNA
Rfam family: Bacterial small subunit ribosomal RNA
Source: RNAcentral
GAUGAACGCUGGCGGCGUGCCUAAUACAUGCAAGUCGAGCGAACGGACGAGAAGCUUUCUUUUCUGAUGUUAGCGGCGGACGGGUGAGUAACACGUGGAUAACCUACCUAUAAGACUGGGAUAACUUCGGGAAACCGGAUCUAAUACCGGAUAAUAUUUUGAACCGCAUGGUUCAAAAGUUAAAGACGGUCUUGCUGUCACUUAUAGAUGGAUCCGCGCUGCAUUAGCUAGUUGGUAAGGUAACGGCUUACCAAGGCAACGAUGCAUAGCCGACCUGAGAGGGUGAUCGGACACACUGGAACUGAGACACGGUACAGACUCCUACGGGAGGCAGCAGUAGGGAAUCUUACGCAAUGGGCGAAAGCCUGACGGAGCAAAGCCGCGUGAGUGAUGAAGGUCUUCGGAUCGGAAAACUCUGUUAUUAGGGAAGAACAUAUGUGUAAGUAACUGUGCACAUAUUGACGGUACCUAAUCAGAAAGCCACGGCUAACUACGUG